Molecule: transfer RNA, 74 nt
Filed under: Gymnosphaera denticulata
Lineage: Eukaryota; Viridiplantae; Streptophyta; Polypodiopsida; Cyatheales; Cyatheaceae
Also listed under: 17 other names
Description: Alsophila denticulata tRNA-Arg
Rfam family: tRNA
About the family: Transfer RNA (tRNA) molecules are approximately 80 nucleotides in length. Their secondary structure includes four short double-helical elements and three loops (D, anti-codon, and T loops).
Source: RNAcentral
GGGUUGGUUGCUCAGUGGAUGAGAGCACAUGGUUUCGAGCCGUGGAUCCGGGGGUUCGAAUCCCUACCAAUUCA